Long non-coding RNA from Peromyscus californicus insignis, 920 nucleotides. RefSeq lists it as uncharacterized. The transcript is spliced from 3 exons. The record is from RefSeq and is a predicted model, not a curated record. NCBI's taxonomy places the organism in Eukaryota, Metazoa, Chordata, Mammalia, Rodentia, Cricetidae.
GUCAUAUCUGUGGGGCAUUUUCUUAAUUACUAUUAAUGAAGGAGGAACCAACCCACUGUGGGUGGUGCUAUUCUUAUGCACCUGAGCAUGGUCUAUAUAAGAAAGGUAGCUGAGCACACGAGAAGAAGCAAGCCAGAGGAAGCCAGCCAAUAAGCAGCUUUACUCCAUGGUUUCUGCUUUCAGGUCCUGCUUUGUGUUCCUGCCUUGGCUUCCUUCACUGGUGGGUGAACCUGCAAGCUGAAAUAAACACUUCCUUCCCAAGUUGCUUUUGCCUAUGAUGCCUAUCACAGCAACAAAAUGAUGAAGAAGGACCUGCAGUUGCCAAAGAUCUCAUCACUACCAAAGUGGAACCACUUGUACCUCACUGGGACAGCAGGACAGAGCUUAUAAGCUGUGCUCAGAGUGGAUCACGCUACAUGUAAGAAGAACUCAAUCAGCAAUGAGCCCACACUUAAAAAACUUUGAACUUUUGAAGUAUUGGAGUUUUUGAAGACUUUGGGAGCCAAUAGGAGUUGGACUUAUUUUACAUUAUGAUAUUAACAUGAGACUUUUGGGACAAUGGAUGGAUUAUGACUUAGAGUAAUGUGUUUGUGUAUGAAUUGACAAGGACUGGCUGGACUUAAUUUUAACUGUUAACUUGACAACUUGCAAGCACCUGGGAGGAGUCUCGAUGAUAAGCUAUUUAAGUUAACUUGGGGGAAUGUCUUUGGAGGAUAGUAUUGAUUUUUAAUUGAGGCAGGAAGAAUCACCGUGAAUAUGUGAGGCACAGUUUCACAGACUGGGUCCUAAACUGUAAGAGUGAAGAAAGUGGCAGGCAAGCAAGCAAAGAUGUGCAUGUUCUCUUUUUGUUUCUGACAGUGGAUGUGAUGCUCCCAGCUGCUUAAAUUCUUGCCUCGACUUUCCUGCAACAAUGGACUGUA